Long non-coding RNA from Solanum pennellii, 2087 nucleotides. RefSeq lists it as uncharacterized. The transcript has 5 exons. The record is from RefSeq and is a predicted model, not a curated record. NCBI's taxonomy places the organism in Eukaryota, Viridiplantae, Streptophyta, Magnoliopsida, Solanales, Solanaceae.
AAGACCCAUACUCUUCUUAUUCCUCCCAAACCCAACAUCAAUACUUCUUUCUUACCGUUCUGGUAGUAGCUCCUCAGAAAUUCCUACGAAGAAAUUGAACGAUGUUGAUGAUGAGAAUCGCGACGUGAAGGAGGAGAAAGAAACCCCGUCAAUUGUUCAUUUCUAGGUCUGUUUGGUUUGGCUGGGAACCGGAUUGAGUGAAGGAUCCAAGGGGGAAUAUGUUAGGGAUGGAGAUGGUUAUGUGGUUCCAUGUUUCUAUUUGAUCGGAAAGUACUACUAGAUUUCCGUAAGGAUAGAGGAAGAAGAAGGAUGGUUAAAGAAACUCAUGAAAAGAUGAAGAUGUGCAAUUUUUAUUGUUUCAGGACGGUGAUGCUAAUUAUUCACUGCUUGUAAACUUGAAAAGGUUGGACACUUUGGGGUGGCCCAGUGGUUUGAGCUUGGGACUUCCAUAUUGGAGGUCUCAAGUUUGAAACUCCUUGACAGCGAAAGCAAUGGUUUUGCCUUCUGAGUCAAGCUCGUCGCACCAGGCUUGCCUACUGCGGGUCACCUGUCCUAUGUGGUUUGCGAGCUAUUGCAUAGUAGCAGGGAUUUUACCCUGUGCGCACCCAAAGGGUAGCGGCUGCGGGUUCCUUGUUAUAAAAAAACUUGGAAAGGGUGGAUGAUCUUCAAUUGUCAAGGUGAAUUUCCAUUGAAAUGUUGCAUAAUGAUCUUUCACAGACUUCCCCAAGUCUUAGAUGAAGUAGAAAAAGGAGGUGGAUUUGUGUCUUAGGUCUCAGGUUCAAGCCCAACACCAUGCAAAGUAAAGCCCUUUGUUUAAGUGGAGAAUGGUAGAGAAGUGGCCCAUUAUCCACCGAGUUUAGAAGUCUAUGACUGGUCCAAAGGGCGGGUUACAGGCGGAUUUCUCAAUUAUUAAAAACAAAAAGAUCUUGCAGAGACUUUUGAUAACUCCAGAAGAUUUGAUGACAAGUGAUAGCUCGACAAUAGGGAUGGUACUGUUUUCUUGAACGACAGGCUCUUGGAAAUGAAGUGCAUACUCCAAAUUCCAUAGCACCUCACCCAUAGAUGGACUGUCUACACCAGAUUCAGCUAAGUGAAAACUAAGUAUUUCAGUGCUCUUUCUCCAAACUUGUUGAAGGAAUCUUUUCUUACUUCGCCUAGAAGAGAUUGAUCUAGGGCAGGCCUAACAAAGAACUUCGCAUAAAAUGGUCAUCAUUAGAGGAAGAAGGAUGGUGAAACUAUUAAAUAACUGUUAAAGAAACUCACUAAAUGAAGAAGGUAUGCUCUAUUUUCCUAAGAUCACUUGCUCAUAUUAUGUUCUUGUCAUUUUCAAAGACAAUUUCUACCCAUUAAUUAGCAUAUAUUGGUUAAGUUGUCUAUGUUUUUCUUAUUACUAUUUUCAAGAUCUAUAGUAAAAACAGGAGAUAGCCCGUGUUUGUGUUUAACAGCUUCUGGUUUUAUUUGAGUCAUAAUUUUUUUGAUAUCCUUACUCCUUAAAAACAAAUUUUAGGAAAUCAGAAGGGAAACAUAUGUGUUGCUCGCUUUCAUUUUGAAAUAUUUUUAGAUUUUUUGAAAAAUGCAUGUUUCGAAAGUUAAUAUUCUUUUUGUAUACAACUCAGAACUUAUAACAAUAAAUUAUGUUAGGUUUUUAUUAAUGACUUCCUUCAUGUGGCUCUUAUAUUAUCGUGCACUUGUUUUAUUCCCUCCUCUUUUAUUAGUGAUGAAUGAAUUGGCUGAUAAAGGUCUUUCCUACGUAAAAGGAUAGUGCGAGAAAGAGAAGGAUAUUCAAGUGCAAGAGAGUAAUGUGCAAGUAAGAUACUAUAUAGCAUUUUUUAAUUAUUAAAGAAACUAGAAAUAGGGUUGGGAAUCAUGUAGUCCUGAUCUUUACUUGUUAGAUGGCCAUUAAAGCCCUAUAUAUGGGGUGUGUAUUUCAAAUUCUAGCUGAACCUUUCUUUCAUUUUUUUGGGGACGAUGUGUGUUAAACAAUACCUAAAGCCUCUAUUUUGCUUUGGUCAACAAAAUGUGAAACUGAUUUGCUUUCUAAGAGUUCUGGAAGGACGACAUGUAUUCUGAAAAUUUAUUUAUAAGCA